CGGGCAGUAGCCCAGCGGUAGGACUUUUGCCUCUUAUGCAAAAAGAUCCGCGUUCGGCUCGCGGCUGCUUCG
Molecule: transfer RNA, 72 nt
Organism: Toxocara canis (dog roundworm)
Lineage: Eukaryota; Metazoa; Nematoda; Chromadorea; Rhabditida; Toxocaridae
Rfam family: tRNA
About the family: Transfer RNA (tRNA) molecules are approximately 80 nucleotides in length. Their secondary structure includes four short double-helical elements and three loops (D, anti-codon, and T loops).
Source: Rfam